This is a long non-coding RNA of Corapipo altera (White-ruffed manakin), 3173 nucleotides long. RefSeq lists it as uncharacterized. The record is from RefSeq and is a predicted model, not a curated record. NCBI's taxonomy places the organism in Eukaryota, Metazoa, Chordata, Aves, Passeriformes, Pipridae. The transcript has 8 exons.
UAAGUCAGGAGUCUGGCUUAGCAUUGUUGUAAUUCUGAUCGGUCUGACUGUGCCUCUGUGCAUUUUAAGUUGUUUAAAGAUAAUUAGUGAUACAGGUGCAGUUUGCCAGCCAGUGGGAAUGCCUCUAUACCAGUUUGGAGUAAAAUGUACUGUGCAUCUCUACGUCUCACAUCCCUGGAAGAGGGGCCGUGCCGGUCUGGCUGCACUGGGACAGCAAGAGCAGUGCCAGCUCGCUGCCUCUGCGAGGCCUGGAGGAUUUGGCAUCGUUUGCAUCUGCACACUGAUGUCCACGCUACGUCAGAGCCAGUCUGCAGCAGCAAAAAUAAGGAAGGGCUCAGGCCUGCUGCCGUUCAAGGCCCAUCUGUUGCAGAAAGGAAUCCUAUGUUUGAAUUAGUUUGUAAAUUGGAAUAUUGGUGUCCUGGGUGAACAUGCACGCUUGGAAUAUAACUUUGGCUAGACAUGACAAAUUUCAGAGGCGAUGGUACCAAUCCCAUGCAUCCCACUGGCCUGGAGUAACAUUUGGAGCAGCCUGGCAGUGCGAUCCUUUUGGUAACUUUCAAGGAUUUUUGGGAUCAUGGGAUGCAUGGACAUACAGACCCAUGAAGCCCUCUGGAGAAUGCUGGUUGUGGAUAAAAGCAUCUUCAAGUUCUUACCAUCUUUUUACCCUGUUUUUUCCUGGGUCACCUUGUGUCAUUUGGGAAGGAAGCCUCUCUGUCCUGAGGAUUAUAGCGUACCAGUCACUUAGUGGAAUACCUCCCCAGUCAUCUUCUCGAGAUGGAGCCAUUGCUUUACCAAACUGGAAGAUAUCUUUUCUUCUCCCAGAGCUUUUCCAGUGCAGCAGCACUCCUGUCCAGCAGGUCUCGGUUGACUACAAAAAGGAGAAGGGAGGAGCGAGUGGAAGGGAGGUCAGAUCCUGCCAGGGUUUCCUGGGAAAUGAGGUGUAUCCACUCUUUUGAUGAUGAAGAUUGAUGAGCUGCAAUUUGACUUGGAUUACAAUAUUUCAGAAGACUUUCUGAACUUACCAGGCAACCCUCCCUCUAGACUUCGGGGACAGUGGAGCUUAAGUUUAUGUCUCCAGUAUCACACAGGAGAAAGAGCGUUACUUGGUUGCUUUGCACAAGUAAUGAAAAUCAAUGCUGUGUUGCCAUUGGGAGGAAUGCUCAAAAGGAGAAAAACCUGAUAUAUAGAUCUUGUUUUAGAGACAGAUUUUGUCUGUAAAGAGGGUGCUUAAGGGAAGAUACAGGAAGAAAGAGGAGAGGUGAUGCUACAAGCCAGCUUCCUGACUUCCAGAGUGGGACUGAAGCUUCAUAAUAAGCAUCCCUCAACCAGAGCAGAGAAGGAUUGCUUGAAUGGGGAGGUGAAAGAAGAAAUGUUACUUCACUGAGCUAUGUCAAGAAAUUAUAUGGGAAGAAGAAUCACAGGACAGAUGGAAGGAGCCCAGCUGUCUUCUUCUACAGGGAAGACAUCUCUUUGUAGCAUUGAGACUGUCUUCAGGAUUCAUGAUUUAGCUUUCAGAUUUUCUAACUAUGGAAGCUCUCCUGAGGAGCUGCAUCACACACUGCUGCCCCUGGGAUGGGAUGCAGAGCAGGGAGUGAAGAGGAGCUGCAAUGUGCCACUGCAAGUUGCUUUCUUGAGGAGAGAGGCUUUCUGGCAUGUCAUACAGUGCCAAAAGCCAUUUUACUCUUGACAGUAAAAAUCCUUAUCCUUCUUGGGUUUUUUUUUCCAGGACAGAUGAUAUUUCCUGUUAGAGAUGCUUUGUAUGCAAAUCAAAGCAGUACAAGAAAAAAAGUCCUGUAAGCAAUCACACUGAUAAACUCAACCCACUGGGGAAUUCCUGCUUAUCAUUUAUCUUUUCUUUUUUCAGUUCUGUACAAGAUACUUCUUUGCCUGUGCUUUCUUAUGGUCUUUAAAGUUUGUCCUGCCAGACCUCUUACUCAUGAACUACAGUGCUACUUGCAUUUUGCAGGGCUCCAUGUCAAUCUGAACAAACAAAAGGCAGUAAAUGCUGGAGGUUGGUGUUAACGGUCCCUGUGUUUUAUCUUUGCCCUGGAUUGCUCUAGUGCUUUCUGAAGUUUAAGCUAGGCAUGAACCUCACACUGCAGAUUGCCAUGUGCCUAUAGUGAUGGUCUACCUGGGAAGCCCAGAAACUUUCAGAAAGCUCAGGAAAGGAAUGAGGAGAGCAAAUAUGUGGGAGACCAGAAAGCUGGCUAAGAUAUGGACUCCUGCACUUUGGAUGUCUGAAGCUGCAUGGGGUGAACUCCCCUCUCAUUGCCUGCAUGAGUGAGCAGGAGUUACUGGAACAAAGCACCUAAUUCAGAACUGUCUGACACCAUCCUAGAUGAAAAUAAUAUGGAAACUUUAAUCAGCUCUCUGCAGCUGAGCAGUCCCUGGAGGUCCUGUACCAAGCCUGACCCACUUGCUGAACCCCAGCAGUGCAGCACUGGGCACUGCACCUGCCUUCAGAAGAAUGAAAGGACAGCAAUCUGAAAAGAGAUAAGCACAGGGGAUGGCAAUCUGUGGAAGACAUUGCUGAGAAGAAGAUUCCCAUGUGCUCUUCAGAAGGGCUACUGAGCUGCCAAAGAAGCGCCAAGCUUUCUCCUUCCUGUGUGUACCCAUCCUGCUGGCUGCAGCUGGGGUGCCACGAACCCUUGCUGGACCCCAAGAGGAUGCAAGGCUCUGUCACUCCCUGGCAUGCUGAGGCCUGGCCAGACUCCCCAGGCAGAGUGAUGCUCCAGGGCCUCUGGACAACCUCCUUCCUGGGCACAACACACCUUGAUUUUCUGGUGUUUUUUUUAAUUUUUUAAUUUUGGCCGAUUGAAUAACUGAAGUACAAACCUCCUUCACCUAUUUGACAUUAAUUCACUGAUGGAUGGCAUAAUGUUUCAUGUUUAUUUUUUAACGCAUGGGGUGAUGAUGUGAUUAUAAGCCUCACAUCCAUGGUGUAUCUUUGAACCAUCUGAAAAGUGUGAGUUUUUACAGAAAACAUGAGAAGGGGGGGGGGGGGGGGGGAAUAAAUUUUUUUAAUCCCUGAAUUUCAUUCUAAGUUUUGAACAAAUCAGAUGUAUUUCAUGGGACCAAAAAAGCUGUGAUUUUUUCCCCUUUUCUUUCUUCAGUGUUGUUUUUUUGUUUUAUUUAACUUUUUUUUGGAAUUAAAAUGUUUACUCACAUAUAAA